GUGCCAGCCGCCGCGGUAAUACGGAGGAUCCAAGCGUUAUCCGGAAUCAUUGGGUUUAAAGGGUCCGUAGGUGGAUAAUUAAGUCAGAGGUGAAAUCUUGCAGCUCAACUGUAAAAUUGCCUUUGAAACUGGUUAUCUUGAGUUAUUAUGAAGUAGUUAGAAUAUGUAGUGUAGCGGUGAAAUGCAUAGAUAUUACAUAGAAUACCAAUUGCGAAGGCAGAUUACUAAUAAUCAACUGACACUGAUGGACGAAAGCGUGGGUAGCGAACAGGAUUAGAUACCCUGGUAGUCCACGCCGUAAACGAUGGUUACUAGCUGUUUGGACUUCGGUCUGAGUGGCUAAGCGAAAGUGAUAAGUAACCCACCUGGGGAGUACGUUCGCAAGAAUGAAACUCAAAGGAAUUGACGGGGGCCCGCACAAGCGGUGGAGCAUGUGGUUUAAUUCGAUGAUACGCGAGGAACCUUACCAGGGCUUAAAUGUAAGUUGCAUUAGUUAGAGAUAGCUAUUUCUUCGGACCACUUACAAGGUGCUGCAUGGUUGUCGUCAGCUCGUGCCGUGAGGUGUCAGGUUAAGUCCUAUAACGAGCGCAACCCCUGUUGUUAGUUGCCAGCGAGUCAUGUCGGGAACUCUAACAAGACUGCCAGUGCAAACUGUGAGGAAGGUGGGGAUGACGUCAAAUCAUCACGGCCCUUACGUCCUGGGCUACACACGUGCUACAAUGGUAGGUAC
This 730-nucleotide ribosomal RNA is filed under the name uncultured bacterium. RNAcentral describes it as "SSU rRNA". It matches the Rfam family "Bacterial small subunit ribosomal RNA", at positions 505 to 1240 of the family's 1533-position model. The record is from RNAcentral.